Molecule: ribosomal RNA, 905 nt
Filed under: Phyllosticta capitalensis
Lineage: Eukaryota; Fungi; Ascomycota; Dothideomycetes; Botryosphaeriales; Phyllostictaceae
Description: partial large subunit ribosomal RNA
Rfam family: Eukaryotic large subunit ribosomal RNA
Source: RNAcentral
AUAUCAAUAAGCGGAGGAAAAGAAACCAACAGGGAUUGCCUUAGUAACGGCGAGUGAAGCGGCAAUAGCUCAAAUUUGAAAGCUGGCGUCUUCGACGUCCGCGUUGUAAUUUGUAGAGGAUGCUUCGGCGAAGACUCCUGCCUAAGUCCCCUGGAACGGGGCGUCAUAGAGGGUGAGAAUCCCGUAUGUGGCGGGCAGUCUAAGCCAUGUGAAGCUCCUUCGACGAGUCGAGUUGUUUGGGAAUGCAGCUCUAAAUGGGAGGUAAAUUUCUUCUAAAGCUAAAUAUUGGCCAGAGACCGAUAGCGCACAAGUAGAGUGAUCGAAAGAUGAAAAGCACUUUGGAAAGAGAGUUAAAAAGUACGUGAAAUUGUUGAAAGGGAAGCGCUUGCAACCAGACUCGCUCGUAGUUGCUCAGCCGGCCUCUUGGCCGGUGUACUCUUCUACGAUCGGGCCAGCAUCAGUUCGGGCGGCAGGAUAAAGGUGUCGGGAAUGUAGCACCCUUCGGGGUGUGUUAUAGCCCGGCGCGGAAUGCUGCCAGCCUGGACUGAGGAUCUCGCUUCGGCAAGGAUGCUGGCGUAAUGGUUGUAAGCGGCCCGUCUUGAAACACGGACCAAGGAGUCUAACAUCUAUGCGAGUGUUUGGGUGUCAAACCCAUGCGCGUAAUGAAAGUGAACGGAGGUGGGAACCCCUCACGGGGUGCACCAUCGACCGAUCCUGAUGUCUUCGGAUGGAUUUGAGUAAGAGCAUAGCUGUUGGGACCCGAAAGAUGGUGAACUAUGCCUGAAUAGGGUGAAGCCAGAGGAAACUCUGGUGGAGGCUCGCAGCGGUUCUGACGUGCAAAUCGAUCGUCAAAUUUGGGUAUAGGGGCGAAAGACUAAUCGAACCAUCUAGUAGCUGGUUCCUGC